RNAcentral lists this long non-coding RNA (856 nucleotides) under Leptinotarsa decemlineata (Colorado potato beetle). Its description in RNAcentral is "uncharacterized LOC111506787, transcript variant X1". Lineage: Eukaryota; Metazoa; Arthropoda; Insecta; Coleoptera; Chrysomelidae. The record is from RNAcentral.
UGAUUGAUUUAUUUAACAACUUUCAGCUGGAUCAGAAGAACAACGUAUGUUGCAAUUGUGGCGAAAGCCUGAAAAAUAAAAAACAGGUACUCACUUGUUUAAGAAUACAGUGGUAGAGGAGAGCAAUUAUAACUAAGGAACCUAAACGGAAUAUAGUCCAAUGUAAGAUCGCAAAAACUUGUGCAGCAACUCUCCAGCUAAAGUGAACUCUCAUGAGGAAUGUGUAGUAAAACUGAAUCACUGCCGAUGAAACUGCAUGUGUGAAGAGCAGCAACGUGGGUAUUCCGAAGAUGUCGUUGAUGUCGAGGCAUACUGAACAAAGCUUAUUGUGAAUGGCGUGAAUCGUUUCAAUAGAUUCUACAUGUUUUUCAACUGAAACAAAAAAAAAAAAUAAGACGUAGAUUUGCAAAGCUGGUAUUCACCGGCGCAGCGUUGUUCUUGAGGAUUUCAGUAUUGUAGUAAAGAGAUUCUAAUGAGUUAUGGGUUCGUAUUACUGAGGUCAAUUUCUCAACUUAUCGAGGACAUUAUAAUGCCACGAAGCUAUACUAUAUUCGUUGCUGAACUGAACUACUGGAUUGAGAUUGAUGUGAAAGUUAUGACGACAACGCCGGAGAGACUAAUGCCCGUAUUCGCCGUAGAGCGAAGCUUAAGGGAAUGAUGGAACUAGAAGAUGAAAUCAUGCUGGAAGUCGAUAACGGCAUCUUACAUGUCAUUGAUUUUGGUUUUCCACGAAGAAUUUUUAGAAGGCCCAACUAUUUCGAGGAGAUGGAUGAUGCUAACAACACUAUUUGUGCUGGAGCUCAUAGAAAAUGCUUUAGAAUUCGAAAACGAUUUGUAAAAAAUACAUUCAAUUGUU